RNAcentral lists this ribosomal RNA (371 nucleotides) under uncultured bacterium. Its description in RNAcentral is "bacterial SSU rRNA". It matches the Rfam family "Bacterial small subunit ribosomal RNA", at positions 29 to 431 of the family's 1533-position model. The record is from RNAcentral.
AGCGAACGCUGGCGGCAGGCCUAAUACAUGCAAGUCGAGCGCGACCUUCGGGUGAGCGGCGGACGGGUGAGUAACGCGUGGGAAUGUGCCCUUUGGUACGGAACAACUGAGGGAAACUUCAGCUAAUACCGUAUGUGCCCUUCGGGGAAGAUUAUCGCCAUAGGAGCAGCCCGCGUUGGAUUAGUAGUUGGUGAGGUAAAGGCUCACCAACGCCUACGAUCCAUAGCUGGCUGAGAGGAUGAUCAGCCACACUGGGACUGAGACACGGCCCAGACUCCUACGGGAGGCAGCAGUCGGGAAUCUUGCGCAAUGGGCGAAAGCCUGACGCAGCCAACACCGUGUGAGCGACGAAGGCCUUCGGGUCGUAAGAC